This 81-nucleotide ribosomal RNA is filed under the name Vibrio parahaemolyticus EKP-026. The record is from RNAcentral. Lineage: Bacteria; Pseudomonadati; Pseudomonadota; Gammaproteobacteria; Vibrionales; Vibrionaceae.
CAUUCCGAACUCAGAAGUGAAACGAAAUAGCGCCGAUGGUAGUGUGGGGUUUCCCCAUGUGAGAGUAGGACAUCGCCAGGU